ACCUAAAUAACCUAGUUUUGUGUAAUUCGCCUACGCAGACUUAAAACAAAGUGAAAUGUGGAUCUCGACCCACUAGAAAAUCUUCCAACGGGAUUUUCCGAAUCAAAUGGUGAGGGUCAUUUAUUUUGAGUAAAAUAGUGGGAGCAUAUUUAAUUAAAGGCCUAAUUUAAUAUGUUAUUGAUACUUAUAUUUUCAUUAUUU
Molecule: long non-coding RNA, 201 nt
Filed under: Lathyrus oleraceus (garden pea)
Lineage: Eukaryota; Viridiplantae; Streptophyta; Magnoliopsida; Fabales; Fabaceae
Description: Pisum sativum (pea) long non-coding RNA (PSAT_LNC037473)
Source: RNAcentral